AAAGGAACAGAUUUCUAAAGGCAAGUUUUCUGCAUGACCUACUUCAACCCCUGUCCUUUGUGGCUCUUCAUUGCACCACAGGAAACAAUUAGGGCUCUAUACAUAUCUAUAACCUCUGUAUAUGUGAAAUACUGAUUUCUGAAUAAACCGAGUUACUUCCAUAAGAAACAAUCCAUGGUUUUUAUAAAUUGUUGGCUUUAGGCUUUAAAACUUCGUCAUUUCGUGAGAUUAAUCUGAACAAACUGAGUCUAUACCUCAAUUAAACCCUCAGGUGUAUUGGAAAUUAUGUUUCCAUUAUUUUACUAUGAAUGCUGAGGUUAAGAAUCCCUUUAACAAUGUAAAACCUUACUGUUUUGCCAAAUUUUUACAGAAAAAUAGCUCUGUGUGUUCUACCAGUGUCAAAAUAAAACACUUGAAGGUAGAGUGCCUAAUUUAAUUAUAAAAGGUAAACCUAAACCUACAGGUGAAGAAUGAUAUAACAUUCUUAAAGAUUUAUCAUAGGAAGCCUUGGCAGAAUGUAGGGGGAGACAUUGUUUCUUUUUGUUGGAUGUGAGUCCAAAUUAUAUUUAAAUGGCAUUAUACUGUAAUUGGUUAUAAAAAUUAGCCAGCUCUUUCCCUUCAGUUUGACUGUAUUGAUACAACUUUUAAAGUGAUAACUUUAUUCAUAUUAUAAGCUUUGCCUAAACUACACUCCCUGUCAGUGAGUGCUGUGUCCUAUACUACCUUAUUCAAUCCUCACAUCAAAUAUAUGAGGUAAAGGAUGUCACCCUCACUUUGCAAUUGAAGAAACUGAGGCAGCACUUUUGGAAGGAAAAGCCAUUUGUAAUUAUCUACUUUAAGUUUCUACUGCUAAAAUAUUUUACUAGUUUUGAGCCAGGUGUAGUGGCUCAUUCCUGUAAUCCCAGCACUUUGGGAGAUGAAGGUGGGAGUAUCACUUGAACACAGGAGUUCUAGACUAGCCUAGGCAACAUAGCAAGGCCUACAUCUCAACAAAAAAUAAAGUAAUUAGCAAGGCGUGGUAGUGUGCACCUGUAGUCUUAGGUACUUGGGAGACUGAGGCAGGAGGAUUGCUUGAGCCCAGGAGUUCAAGGAUGCGGUGAGCUAUGCUCAUGCCACUGAACUCCAGCCUGGACAACAGAGCAAAAUCCCACCUCAAGAAAAAAUGUUUACGAUUUUUACUAUAAUUUUAUUAUAAAGUUACUGAUUGUUAGAAAUACUAGGGUAUAAAAAAUAUUUUGCAUUCAAGAAACUGAAAUAUUUAAUGUUGUCUAGAAUGCAUACAUAUAUGAGAAUGGUAAAAGAGACUGGAGAAAUUCAAAUUAUGAAUGUCAUAUUUUAUUCAGCAUGCUUGGGCAUUUGUUCUUUUAUCCAUAGUGCUGUGGCAUCAUUAAAAAAUUUUUAAGCUUGUCAUUGACAUGAUUAGAUUGUAUUUUAAGUCUAAUGGAAAGAAUUGGGCUGGGACAUGACUUCAAGCUCCAAUUCCUUCACUAAAUAAGCAAAGAGGUUUUGUUUGUUUGUUUUUAACUGUUUUAUAUUUUUAAAUAAAUUGUGAUACAUAUGAAAUAAUAUAUACACACACACACGUAUAUGUAACAUUAAGUUAUAAAGCAUAGUGAUAUAAUGAACAAUUAAGAACUCAAGCACCAGUAUUUCUAACUUCCAUUUACCUAUGUUUUCCCUUGUGCCAUUCCCCUUCUUCCCCUGACAGUUAUUUUCCUGAAUUAUGCUUUUUUAGAUUAUAGUGUUAUAUAUAUGUUUUCAUAAACUAUAUAUGAUUUAGUUUUGCUUUAUUUUGAGCUGUGUGUUGUUUUCUUGGGACUUGCUUUCUAAAGUCACAUUUUGUUUCUAGGGUUUAUAUAUAUUGUCAUAUCACUGUAGCUAUAGUUUAUUCUAUUUCACUGCUGAAUAAUAUCUGUGAUAUACUACAGUUUAUCUGGUUUCCUGCUAAUGAAACACUUUGGUUAUUUCUAGUUUUUCCUAUUGCAAAUAAUGCUACUACACACAUUCUUGUGCAAGUACAAGCUCCUCUAGGAAACAUCCCUAGGAGUCACAUUGCUGAGUUGUUGAGUAUGAGAAUAUUCACCUUUACAGGAUAAUGCCAAAUUGUUUUUCAAAGUGGACAUACAAAGGAAUAUUUCCAUCAUUAAUGUAUAAGCGCUCCAUUGAUCCAUAAUCUCUCCUACCUUGGUAUUAUCAAAUGUCUGAUUUUUGCCAACCUAGUAUUUUAAAAUGGUGUCUCAUUGUCAUCUUCAUUUACUUUUCUCUAAUUACUAAUAGGAUUGAUAAUUACAUUGUUUAUUUGGCCAUAUACGUGUCCUAUUCUGUGAAAUAUCUAUGCCCAUUUUUCUGUGUUUUAUCUUAAUUGAUUUGUAGAAAUUCUUUGUAUAUUCUAGAAUAUAGAUAAUGUUGCAAAAUAUCUUCUUGCAGUUUGUGGUUCAUCUUUUCAAUUUCUUUUCUUUUGAGGAAAAAAAACUUUUAGUGUGGAAUUUAUCACUAUGUUUGUGUCUUGUUUGAAUCCUUCUCUUCUGCAAGAUACUAUGUGGCUAAUGAUUUGCCUGAGGUUUUUUGUAUUUUCUGUGUAAGUAAUGCCAAUUGCAUUUCUUUCCAGUUCUUAUCCUU
Molecule: long non-coding RNA, 2619 nt
Filed under: Homo sapiens (human)
Lineage: Eukaryota; Metazoa; Chordata; Mammalia; Primates; Hominidae
Description: HSALNT0220110
Source: RNAcentral